This 301-nucleotide ribosomal RNA is filed under the name uncultured bacterium. Its description in RNAcentral is "partial 16S ribosomal RNA". It matches the Rfam family "Bacterial small subunit ribosomal RNA", at positions 509 to 809 of the family's 1533-position model. The record is from RNAcentral.
CAGCAGCCGCGGUAAUACGAAGGGGGCUAGCGUUGCUCGGAAUGACUGGGCGUAAAGGGCGCGUAGGCGGCGGCCAAAGUCAGGCGUGAAAUUCCUGGGCUCAACCUGGGGGCUGCGCUUGAUACUUGGUUGCUUGAGUGGGGAAGAGGGUCGUGGAAUUCCCAGUGUAGAGGUGAAAUUCGUAGAUAUUGGGAAGAACACCGGUGGCGAAGGCGGCGACCUGGUCCUUGACUGACGCUGAGGCGCGAAAGCGUGGGGAGCAAACAGGAUUAGAUACCCGUGUAGUCCCUGUCUCUUAUAA